Molecule: ribosomal RNA, 253 nt
Filed under: uncultured bacterium
Lineage: Bacteria
Description: partial 16S ribosomal RNA
Rfam family: Bacterial small subunit ribosomal RNA
Source: RNAcentral
UACGUAGGGUGCAAGCGUUAAUCGGAAUUACUGGGCGUAAAGCGUGCGCAGGCGGUGAUGUAAGACAGGUGUGAAAUCCCCGGGCUUAACCUGGGAACUGCAUUUGUGACUGCAUCGCUGGAGUGCGGCAGAGGGGGAUGGAAUUCCGCGUGUAGCAGUGAAAUGCGUAGAUAUGCGGAGGAACACCGAUGGCGAAGACAAUCCCCUGGGCCUGCACUGACGCUCAUGCACGAAAGCGUGGGGAGCAAACAGG